UCCUUCGUGGUGUAGUGGUCAGCACGCUCAACGGGUAUUCGAGAGGUCCGUGGUUCAAGUCCCGGCGAGGGCA
Molecule: non-coding RNA, 73 nt
Organism: Stegodyphus mimosarum
Lineage: Eukaryota; Metazoa; Arthropoda; Arachnida; Araneae; Eresidae
Source: Rfam